GUCUAUGGCCAUACCACCCUGAACGCACCUGAUCUCGUCUGAUCUUGGAAGCUAAGAAGGGUUGGGCCUGGUUAGUACUUGGAUGGGAGAAGUGAGGAAGAUAACAGCACUUUAUACA
This 118-nucleotide ribosomal RNA is filed under the name Octodon degus (degu). Lineage: Eukaryota; Metazoa; Chordata; Mammalia; Rodentia; Octodontidae. The record is from RNAcentral.